Molecule: ribosomal RNA, 465 nt
Filed under: uncultured Klebsiella sp.
Lineage: Bacteria; Pseudomonadati; Pseudomonadota; Gammaproteobacteria; Enterobacterales; Enterobacteriaceae
Description: bacterial SSU rRNA
Rfam family: Bacterial small subunit ribosomal RNA
Source: RNAcentral
CCUACGGGAGGCUGCAGUGGGGAAUAUUGCACAAUGGGCGCAAGCCUGAUGCAGCCAUGCCGCGUGUGUGAAGAAGGCCUUCGGGUUGUAAAGCACUUUCAGCGGGGAGGAAGGCGGUGAGGUUAAUAACCUCAUCGAUUGACGUUACCCGCAGAAGAAGCUCCGGCUAACUCCGUGCCAGCAGCCGCGGUAAUACGGAGGGUGCAAGCGUUAAUCGGAAUUACUGGGCGUAAAGCGCACGCAGGCGGUCUGUCAAGUCGGAUGUGAAAUCCCCGGGCUCAACCUGGGAACUGCAUUCGAAACUGGCAGGCUAGAGUCUUGUAGAGGGGGGUAGAAUUCCAGGUGUAGCGGUGAAAUGCGUAGAGAUCUGGAGGAAUACCGGUGGCGAAGGCGGCCCCCUGGACAAAGACUGACGCUCAGGUGCGAAAGCGUGGGGAGCAAACAGGAUUAGAUACCCGGGUAGUC